CAAAAUAUAGGAAACAAAUGACACAAUCUUUUGGGAGAUGAGAGCCAGAUCUACGGAUGAAAAAUAUUAAGAAUUACUAUGAGGGAAACAAAUCAUAUGACUAAACAUUCAAUGAACUCAAAGGAAUAAUUUUUUUAAUACCGUGUGUGGAUACCUAUGCGAAGAAAAGUGCUCCAACUAUGACCCCGUAUUUCUAUACAUGCACGAUAAGGGCAUCUCUAGCCGAUCCUUUAAAAAAAUUUAGAGGAGCAAAAUGAACAGCUAACAGCUAACGCCACUUCUCGGGAUAAUUUUGACGAGUUGGGUAGCGGUGCCACCUCUACCUGCCACCGCUACCCAACCUUGCCAUCGUCGGCACCACUACCCUUGAUUCCGUACGGAACGGAACCGGAAGGCAACUCCGCUACCCAGCUAGCCACUGCUACCGGCUCGACGUCGUCGGAAUCGAUCUCUGCGUCGCCGCCUAUGCCAAGGAAAAGGUUGGGGAUGAAAAGCUUGCUCCGGACCGCCGUGCCGUCAAAGGCCGGCAACAAGGCCCCAGCGGCUGCGAUGAUGCCCAGUUGCCCUCAUGGUGCUCCGACCAGCGACAAGUGGGCGAGGAAGCCGACAGAGGCGAUGGAUGCGCUCACCGAGGCAGCAAUGAAGAAGAAGAUUGAUGAUGGUUUGCAGCUGUGGGGUUUGAGAUUGUUAUUGUUGAUUGUAGUGUGAAGGAGGGGGGUUGGG
Molecule: ribosomal RNA, 723 nt
Filed under: Triticum aestivum (bread wheat)
Lineage: Eukaryota; Viridiplantae; Streptophyta; Magnoliopsida; Poales; Poaceae
Description: partial small subunit ribosomal RNA
Source: RNAcentral